GGAUAUCUAAACUAGAUAUAGAGCUUAAGGGACCAUUAUGAACUAAUGUGGCAAGAUGAGAACCACAAAGAUGACCAAGACCAUUAUGAACUAAUGUGGCAAGAUGAGAACCACAAAGAUGACCAAGACAAUGAUGCUAGGUCUCAAAAGCAGAAGAGGAAACAUGGGCAGGGGUUGAGGCAGGAGAACUAGGCACAUGUAGUUGGUCCAUCAAAUACACUUCAUCAUGGUGAUGGCCGGCACCAAUCAGGCAUCUAGUUUGCUGAUCUUGCAUGAACAAAGAAGAGG
RNAcentral lists this long non-coding RNA (288 nucleotides) under Elaeis guineensis (African oil palm). Its description in RNAcentral is "long non-coding RNA (EGUI_LNC000459)". Lineage: Eukaryota; Viridiplantae; Streptophyta; Magnoliopsida; Arecales; Arecaceae. The record is from RNAcentral.